GGAAAUAAAUGUAUGGUGUUCAUACCAGUCAGUCUGAUUACUCUUAGCAUUACGAUUGCCAUUCUAAUUGUAGGUUGUUGUUUUAAUGUUUGUCACAGCUUUCCUGACAUUUGAGAUCCCACUUACUAGUUUAUCAGAGACAAAGCUGUAUGAUGGGUCUGGAACUGAAGUUGAUGGGGAUGUGUUUGAGGAGGUGGUGACACGGCCAGAUUUAGGUGUUUUCAAGCUCACACUGAACAAUGAUGCUAAAGUUAUGUGCUGGUUAUCAAGUCGUGGUUAUUUGUGGCAUCACUUUCAAUAUAACCAUACAUUUGACAUGUCUGUGUUGUUAUUGUGUAUUUCAGAAUCUUCCCUGGUGAGUCCUGUCUCUGCCAGUUCUGUGAUGGGUGGUUCAGACCAUGAGUCGGAUGAUACAAUUAUUUUGAGCGAGGAUGGAAGCCCCUCACGAAAGCAUCAAAGAUCUGAUGACGAAGCAAAAAAAGGUAAGUUGGUAAUUCAUUCUUCAAUUCUUCUUGCCACCAAAUUGAUUUGUCACUGCUGUUUUUUUGUGUUUUUUUUUUUACAUACUGAAGAAAAAAACCUGGUGGAGGUUGUCAUCAAGGAAUACUCCAAAGCUAAAAGCCUGACUGACUGCACCAGACGAAAGAUGAUCAACAUUCUGGUUUCGGCGAUGACAGAGACUCAUGGGACAUCAACACCACGCAGUGUGAGAGAAACGUUUGCACAAGGCAUCGUCUCCUUGUUCCCAUAACCUGAAGGAUCCCUACAACACAAAUGGAUAUAUUGAACAUAAUUUUGUGCUGCUGUUUGGAGAGGGAAUAUCAGCCAGGUCUUUGGAGUGGUGGCCAACUACAUUCAAGCAAAAUAUCAUCAUGCUAAGCAAGACCCUAAGCAAGACCCCUGAUUGAGCUGAACUUCAGGAGCUGAUCCAGAUGGAAGAAUCUGCAGUUAAUGAGGGAGCUGACACAAAUGCUGACGGAUGGGACGGUGACCUUUCCUCCAUCCUUCUCCUGCUCCAUUUGAUUCCUUCAUCACAAGGCUGCAAAAGACCAGGCAAGAUGUCCGCAUCCCAAGCUGAACAGCAUCUUGUGAUAUUCUAAAAGGCAGGAACCAGUAUCCAGGAGCAUCUUUAUGCGAUUGACCAGAGCCGCCAACCAUAUCUUCUUGCAGUCAGGACCAGGAGGAGCAGCAUCCAUGCUUACUUCAUCAUCCUGGACAAACGGGACUUGCCGUGCAAGUCAAAGAGGGCUCUUGGUGCCUUUGAUGAGCUUUUCAAGACUCACUUUGUUUUUGGUACUGCAAUGUUGUGCAACAUGUACACCUUCAUACAGACAACUGUGUACAUCAUAGACAUUGGUGAGGUUAAGGAGACUCCAAGGGUUGCUGAGCUCAGAGCUAGACUCCUGCACUAAUGCCGAUUAAGUUAUGAUGAUAUGUUUUGUUUGCCAAGCUAGUCAUGGAAGUACCAACUUGCUCGUGAGGCAUCUCAAGUUGAUGCAUGGAAUGUUCCCUGGUAGAACUCUUAGACUAAAAUGUGGUCAAGCAGAUUGUUGUGUAUAUGGUACAUUUUCAGGCUUUAGGAAGCAUUUGAACAGGGCACAUUCCGGAGACUGUCAAAUUUUGUUAAACGCUAAGUUGGAUGCUAAUACAGACAGUUGAUAAUCAGCCAAGAAAUGCUGAUUUUCCUUCAAAUUCUAGUUGUAAUCAUGUUACACAAUAUCUAACAAGAACACACUUGAUAUGUGUGCAUCUGCUAUUGCACAACUGCUGGCUGGCUGCAAGUGUAGGUCAGACGACUUUAAAUAGUUGUGUAUCUUCCAUGGAAGAAGCAGAUACAGGGUCAAGCUAAAGUGACCGCUCGUCCUUGUAUAUCUUCAAAGACACAGAAACUGUCACAAAUCCAACAUUCUUUUCAGGAUAUUGAAAAUCAUUUCACAUUGUUGGUAUACAUUAACUGUUUGGUUUUGUGGAAUCAUUUUGUGCUCGUUAUUGUUGCCGUUUUUGCCUCACUGAAAAAGUAGACUUUCAAACUGUUCUUUGAGGAUGACCCAAGAGUGACUUUACGAACAAAACACGCACUCAGACCAUUGUCAAACUAUUCAGUCAAACCCAACACUACCUCAUAUGUACGCUGUGAAGCAUACUUGCUUAUUGAACUCUGCAGUACUUCAAUACUACAGACUAUUUUUCUGUUGAUAUAAUGCAUGACAUUUUAGAAGGAGUUGCACAAUGAGGUAAAACUUGUUAUAGUAUUUACAAGCCAACUUUGACUGCUAAAGAUGUGUACGGUAGAGUUCCUUCAUAUAGCUAUGGCUACACAGAGAGGAGGAAUCGUCCACCUGCACUCAAAUUGGAUCAUGGGAGCAAUGAUUUGGGUCUAAAUGCUAUUCAGUCUUGGUGUCUUCGUAAUUUGACAUUGAUAUUUGGUGAUCUUGUACAGAAAGAUGAUAAAUACUGGCUAACUCUGUUACUACUACUAUUGUGUUUUCUCCUAUACUAACAGAGGGCAUGACCAUCUAUCUGAAGCACUUAAUUGCUGAACAUCAUAGGCUUUUCAAUUAUUUGUUUCCUGAUAGAAAUCUGUUACCGAAACACCACUUCAUGAUACAUUAUCCUUGUUGUAUAAGGAAUAUUGGGCCCAUUCUUCCCUCAUGGUGUAAAUGUGCUACGAAGCAAAAACAAUUUCUUUAAAAAGCAACUGAAGAGUUUUAAGAAUGUCACUAUGAACUUAGCCAAGAAACACAAAUGACAUGGCAUAUAACUGAGAAACCUUCAGCCAGGAUGGACAAGCUAUCAGCCAGGAUGGACUAGCUAUAGGUCCAGGAUGGACUAGCUAUAGGUCCAGGAUGGACUAGCUAUAGGUCCAGGAUGGACUAGCUAUAGGUCCAGGAUGGACUAGCUAUAGGUCCAGGAUGGACUAGCUAUAGGUCCAGGAAGGAUGUCAAGGCUCAAUGACCUGAAAGAAGGCCAUGAGAUGCUGCCAAGUUGAAUGUCUCAGUGCACACAAAUGUUUUGUCAGUUAAAUGGGUAAAGCACCAUGGUACAGAAUAUCGCCUUGAUUUGGCCAUAUGUGGUGAAGUAGUCAUUGAAAUGCAGGUAUUUUACUAAAUGAAGGCUAUUGUUUUGAAAGAGAAAUGUUUUGUUGUUUGGGUCAGGUCUUGAAACCUUAUGUUUUGAUCAUUUGCAUGCAUUUAAAGUUGUUUUGAAGCAAAGUCCACCAUGCAAGGUAUUUCAUGUACCACAAACCUUUUGAUUUCCUCAUGUCAUAUGGAGCAAAGGAUUUUUUUUGACUACAUUGUCCCCUACUGUCACUUGAUAACAGUUUAAGCCAGGUCUGAGACUUAUGGUUUGGUUGUGAGAAACAAAUUUGUUUUAAUGUGAAAGUCAGUAUUUUCCAACAAACCUUUUGAUUUGCUCAUGUCAUAUGGAGCAAGGGAUUCUUUUGACUACAUUCUACUGUCACUUGAUAACAGUGUAAGGCAGGGCUGAGACUUGUGGUUUGGUCAUAAUAAACAUAUUUGAAUGUUGAAACAGCUUUGCUUGAGCUUUGCUCCUCACCGG
Non-coding RNA from Oncorhynchus mykiss (rainbow trout), 3561 nucleotides. The record is from RefSeq and is a predicted model, not a curated record. NCBI's taxonomy places the organism in Eukaryota, Metazoa, Chordata, Actinopteri, Salmoniformes, Salmonidae.